This 419-nucleotide ribosomal RNA is filed under the name uncultured Diaphorobacter sp. RNAcentral's name for it is "bacterial SSU rRNA". It matches the Rfam family "Bacterial small subunit ribosomal RNA", at positions 360 to 771 of the family's 1533-position model. The record is from RNAcentral. Lineage: Bacteria; Pseudomonadati; Pseudomonadota; Betaproteobacteria; Burkholderiales; Comamonadaceae.
AAUUUUGGACAAUGGGCGAAAGCCUGAUCCAGCCAUGCCGCGUGCAGGAUGAAGGCCUUCGGGUUGUAAACUGCUUUUGUACGGAACGAAAAGCCUCUUUCUAAUAAAGAGGGGUCAUGACGGUACCGUAAGAAUAAGCACCGGCUAACUACGUGCCAGCAGCCGCGGUAAUACGUAGGGUGCAAGCGUUAAUCGGAAUUACUGGGCGUAAAGCGUGCGCAGGCGGUUUUGUAAGACAGAGGUGAAAUCCCCGGGCUCAACCUGGGAACUGCCUUUGUGACUGCAAGGCUGGAGUGCGGCAGAGGGGGAUGGAAUUCCGCGUGUAGCAGUGAAAUGCGUAGAUAUGCGGAGGAACACCGAUGGCGAAGGCAAUCCCCUGGGCCUGCACUGACGCUCAUGCACGAAAGCGUGGGGAGCAA